UACGUAGGGUGCAAGCGUUAAUCGGAAUUACUGGGCGUAAAGCGUGAGCAGGCGGUUUUGUAAGUCUGUCGUGAAAGCCCCGGGCUCAACCUGGGAAUUGCGAUGGAGACUGCAAGGCUAGAAUCUGGCAGAGGGGGGUAGAAUUCCACGUGUAGCAGUGAAAUGCGUAGAGAUGUGGAGGAACACCGAUGGCGAAGGCAGCCCCCUGGGUCAAGAUUGACGCUCAUGCACGAAAGCGUGGGGAGCAAACAGG
RNAcentral lists this ribosomal RNA (253 nucleotides) under uncultured bacterium. RNAcentral's name for it is "partial 16S ribosomal RNA". It matches the Rfam family "Bacterial small subunit ribosomal RNA", at positions 524 to 776 of the family's 1533-position model. The record is from RNAcentral.